AUUAUUUGGGGUCAAUACCCAGUAAUGUUUAGCACUGCUGAAUCAGGUUAUUUCUAUUUUAGGUUUUUUGAGGAAUCUCCGUUGCACCACCUGACCUUCCCAUCAACAGUGAGUGAAGGUUCCCUUUUCUCUGGAUCCUCACUAACACUUGGUCUGUCACUCCUUUCAGAUCCCUCUAAGAUAAACGUCUGCAAAAGAAAGAACAAUUCUUGUAAAAAGCCAGCCAGACUUCGCUCUGAGCAUACAAGCUCUGCCAGUUAUAGCCAGAGGUUUCUUUCUGUGUGCCAUCCUUACUCAACUGAAGGUGUCUGAUUGAUGCACUGUAGUCCAUUAUAAGCAAACUGUAAGUACCAAAUAUUUGGUGUAACUAUGCAGGCCUAUAAAUCAAUACAGCAUUGUGAGUGUAUUCCACUCAGCAUUG
RNAcentral lists this long non-coding RNA (421 nucleotides) under Mustela putorius furo (domestic ferret). Its description in RNAcentral is "lncRNA (ENSMPUG00000028830.1)". The record is from RNAcentral. Lineage: Eukaryota; Metazoa; Chordata; Mammalia; Carnivora; Mustelidae.